AUCUAGCUCUCCACGCUGGGGAGAAAACUAUAAGUGCCAGGUGUGUGUGUGGGGGGGGGGCAGUUUAGGACCUAAUUUACAUUUUGUAAUCUUCCCAGGGCCUUCACUUGAUCUGAGCAAUGCCAUUGCCUGCAUCUGUUGCGGAGACCACUGCACUUCUGCCAGCAGUCAGGACCCCACAGUAUGUGUCUCAGAGGCAAAGGAAAGGCCUUGCAAAAGAAUGGCAACUCAAGAAGAAACCCCUCCACUCAUAUUGUCUCUCCAUUGCCCUUGAGGAGUCAGAUUCUAGCAUGGUCCAGAAGCCAAAGGCUAUGACACUGAAGUACAUGAGCUUGAGGACCUCAUAGACCUCCUGUUUGUUCAUCCCCAAAUAUCUCCUGAAGGGAGAGGGAAGCUCUCAUCACAGAAGAAUGCAAGCAAAGCAGAAUCAAGGAACAUUAAAGAGCAUGGGAUUAAGGAACCCAGACAGGUAACUGACUCCAAGAUGAAUGUGAACAGGGCGCGUUUGCCUUCCCCUGGCUCUGUUUCAGGGAGACUCCAUUGUUCGAUUCUCUCCCUAUGAGUUACAGCAGCAGGGAAGAGCUGGGCCCAAUGGAGUUUCAGGGAGACUCAUCCUGUCAAAGCUGCUCUCUGCCCUGUAUCUCUACAUCCCACUCAACCCUUAACAGGGAAGUGCCUUGUUCUCUUGGCUACCCUGAGGCUAUGGUAAAAUAUCCUGCCUUCCCAUUCUGACUGCUUUCUAUCUUCUUCUUUCCAUAUCACAUUAGUUAGUAUGUCACUCAUCAAUGAAAUCAUAUAUGCUCCAGAUUUGGACAGAGGCUAAUCUGUGACCCCACGUGGACUAACAGCUCUACAUGUUAAUAGGGAUCUUUAGUACUCUUCCUUCAGGGAAGUCUUUUUUUUUUUUUUUCAGGGAAGUCUUAAUGUGGGACCUUAUCAAGGUAGAGGAGA
This 951-nucleotide long non-coding RNA is filed under the name Vulpes vulpes (red fox). RNAcentral's name for it is "lncRNA (ENSVVUG00000006836.1)". Lineage: Eukaryota; Metazoa; Chordata; Mammalia; Carnivora; Canidae. The record is from RNAcentral.